Non-coding RNA from Rattus norvegicus (Norway rat), 2915 nucleotides. Lineage: Eukaryota; Metazoa; Chordata; Mammalia; Rodentia; Muridae. The record is from RefSeq and is a predicted model, not a curated record.
AAACAUAGCAGUUUAAAGUAGUAAGCAUCAAGUAUCUCCAUUUUAGUGGGUAUGAAUUCAGGAGAAACUUAGCUGGUGGCUUGGGUUCAGGGUCUCAGAGAUCAAUUCAUCUCAUGGUGUGGUGGGUAGCAGGCAGAACUUGAUCACCUAGCAUUUGGAGGGAAGGAGUACUAGAGACUACAAAGAAGAAACCAUAGCAUCAUUCGCAUCCUACUACUACAGAAAACCCCUGCUGUCAUUUCUUCUGCUCCUUUCACUAACUAGAAACCCAGUCACCAGGCCUGCUGACACUUAGGACUGCAAUCCGGUCUACUUCUGGAAGUAGAAGAUGCUGCUCUCACAAAAGGGCCAGAUCUUAGUGCAAAUGAAGAGGAGCUGGUAUACGUCAGUUACAUAAAAUAGAUGGAGGUGGAGUUGGUGACAGGUGUGAUAAACAGCACGGAGGAUGCAGAGCGUUUGCCACAGCCUGCUGCACUGAAGACCAAGGCAGCAAGAGUGCUGUUAGGAGGGAGAUGAUGCACACCUUCUCACAUUCGAGAUUGUUUCCAGUGGACAAGCAGUGCCGCUGGGUUAGAAGCCUGUGAGUCUGAGUGUGUCAGAGGCAAGGUACUCUUCAAUGGAUGGCUUUUUCCUCUUCACGGUGCGCUUGUGAGACCUAAUGGAACAGGCAGUGGAGAGCUGCAAUCUUGAUGCUCAUGGAGGUCAACGGUGGUGUCUGCGGAUCCAUUCAAUCCCAUCAUCCUCCUACUCAUACAGCAGAUACCCCACAAAGCUUAGGAAGCAGAGCAACUUUUCGCCAGUAAGGCUUUCCCUACAACGACACAGGCCAUUCGACACAGGCCAUUCGCUUCUUCGCAUACACUUGGAAGGCUUAGCAGCUCUUCUCUUGCCUCCGUGGACGUCAUGGUUCUGGCACACUUCCCUCCACCCCACCAACACACAGACACACAGACUUUGACCACACACUCUCACACCAGAAGAGUCAGAAAAUACACGAAGGAAAAAAAAUCUAAUAAUACUUACUUGAGGUUUUUUAAACUCCUUGGGGGUAGAUAGAUACAAGGCAGUAAACCAGCAUAAGGAAAGAAAAACAGUUUUUGUUGUUUUUUUUUAAAAAGCUAAUAAAAAAAAUCCCAUAGGAAGGAAAUGGAAACCCCCCAACCCCCCAAAAUGGAGCUAAAUUGUGCGGUUGCUGUUAGCUGCCUUCCUGGAAGGGGGCAGAAGCUGAAAGCAUUCGCCACUUAGACUGGAAUUGUUUUCUAAACAGAUUUUCUUAGUGUGUAUUUUUCACAUAUUUUAACCUUUCUCAAAACACCCUGGCCAAAAGCAGUAAAAUUGCCGUGCUAUUAAACUUAAAUUAGGGGCUUGUGCAGACUGAGGGGCCCAGCUGGGUUCCCUCUGGCAACAGGGAGAAGGAGGGAGGGGAAAGCCACCAUGAUGUGUUGCCCUCAGGGACUUGCCUGGUACCUCUUUGGGAAAGCCCAGCUAAACCUGGCCCCUGGCUAAUAACGGGGAGACAGCAAGAGGGAAAGCAAUGAUAGGAAGUUUUAAAAAAAAAUGAAUUAAAAACUAUUAUUUUUUUUCUUUUUUUUUUUUCGGGGCUGGGGACCGAACCCAGGACCUUGGGCUUCCUAGGCAAGCGCUCUACCACUGAGCCAAAUCCCCAACCCCCCUAUUAUUUUUUAAAUAAAAAAAUAUGCACAUCAAGUGGGAAAAUGAUCACACCUGCAUGCUUUCAAACGCAGAGUUUGAGAUGGAACCAGUGUUAUUCUGCGCUUUCAGCGUCAAAGGGCGGGCGUAGGUAGGAGCUGUUAGAUUCUAGCAGAAUGCUGGGAGGUGGGGACAGAGCAGUGUGGCGAGAGACCCACGCUUUGUUCAAAACAGUAGAUUUUUUAGUUUAAGCCAUGCUGGGAACGACAGACAUUUCACAAGUCAUCCCCAGCCAAAGAAAAGUCAUUUGCCUUCUCAUCCUUUUUCUUGGUCUUUGGGGACUCAAUAAAGUGUUGCUUUUGUCUCUGGGAGCACAAACUCUGGGUGCACGUGAGGCCUGGGAGACACAUGAAGUCACCUCCUGUUAUGACUGCCCACACAGACAGACGAGGCCAGAGGGUACCCCAGGAAAGCUGUGCUGAGCGGAAAGCGUCUGAGUGGGUUUAUUGAUCUCAUUGGAAAAUGGGCAUUUCAGCUUCUCUCCACGGAGUCGGCCUGGACGUGUCAGCAAGGCGUCCCUUUGGACCCAUCGACCGGAGCUGAAGAAUGUACCGCACUUCGCCUCCACUGAUUCCGCUGCUGCCGCCGGUGCUGUCCUAUGGUCCAUCCAGGAAGAAAGAGAGGGAUGGUGGCAGCAGCCACUUCCCUCUGCGAACAGCCUGUGUCUGCACUGGGAGCCUGCACGCGCUGAUCUGGUUAGAGAAGCGCUUAAGGCCGUGGAUCCUUGGCACAGAGACUGUCGCAGUUGGGAAGGGUCUUUGGCUCCCAGAUAUUUUGAGGCAGUGGGCAAAACAUAAAAACAGUCUGCUUUAGCCACCCAGCCUUGCAGCUCAAAUCUGAGCUUAGACUGUGAGGACAUGACCAAAGGAAACAAAUGCUUGACCAGACAUCUGACAACAUCUGUUUACUUUGCUUGUGCGAGUGCAGCCUGCCUGGCCUGAGGUGUCUGCUUUUGGCUGGAAGGCAAGAUGGAGGCCCCUUGUAAACACAGGCCAUGCCAAGAACAGGCAAAGCUUACCUAGGUGACUGCCCUCUUCCCUAUUGGAAUUGCUCACUGUGAUGGGCUUCUUCCUGUUCUCGGCAAAUCUAAACUUGUAGUAGAUGAAGAAAGAGGUGGACACAAAUAAACCAGAGGUUUGGAUCCAUCCCUCCACCCCCGUUUCUUAGCUCAGGAAACCAAAGGGUCUCAAGUCCACACCCCUUUC